UUAAGCGACUAAGCGUACACGGUGGAUGCCCUGGCAGUCAGAGGCGAUGAAGGACGUGCUAAUCUGCGAAAAGCGUCGGUAAGGUGAUAUGAACCGUUAUAACCGGCGAUGUCCGAAUGGGGAAACCCAGUGCAAUUCGUUGCACUAUCGUUAACUGAAUACAUAGGUUAACGAGGCGAACCGGGGGAACUGAAACAUCUAAGUACCCCGAGGAAAAGAAAUCAACCGAGAUUCCCCCAGUAGCGGCGAGCGAACGGGGAGCAGCCCAGAGUCUGAAUCAGCUUGUGUGUUAGUGGAACGGUCUGGAAAGUCCGACGGUACAGGGUGAUAGUCCCGUACACCAAAAUGCACAGGCUGUGAACUCGAAGAGUAGGGCGGGACACGUGGUAUCCUGUCUGAAUAUGGGGGGACCAUCCUCCAAGGCUAAAUACUCCUGACUGACCGAUAGUGAACCAGUACCGUGAGGGAAAGGCGAAAAGAACCCCGGCGAGGGGAGUGAAAAAGAACCUGAAACCGUGUACGUACAAGCAGUGGGAGCACCUUCGGGUGUGACUGCGUACCUUUUGUAUAAUGGGUCAGCGACUUAUAUUCUGUAGCAAGGUUAACCGUAUAGGGGAGCCGCAGGGAAACCGAGUCUUAACUGGGCGUUAAGUUGCAGGGUAUAGACCCGAAACCCGGUGAUCUAGCCAUGGGCAGGUUGAAGGUUGGGUAACACUAACUGGAGGACCGAACCGACUAAUGUUGAAAAAUUAGCGGAUGACUUGUGGCUGGGGGUGAAAGGCCAAUCAAACCGGGAGAUAGCUGGUUCUCCCCGAAAGCUAUUUAGGUAGCGCCUCGUGAAUUCAUCUUCGGGGGUAGAGCACUGUUUCGGCUAGGGGGUCAUCCCGACUUACCAACCCGAUGCAAACUACGAAUACCGAAGAAUGUUAUCACGGGAGACACACGGCGGGUGCUAACGUCCGUCGUGAAGAGGGAAACAACCCAGACCGCCAGCUAAGGUCCCAAAGUCAUGGUUAAGUGGGAAACGAUGUGGGAAGGCACAGACAGCCAGGAUGUUGGCUUAGAAGCAGCCAUCAUUUAAAGAAAGCGUAAUAGCUCACUGGUCGAGUCGGCCUGCGCGGAAGAUGUAACGGGGCUAAACCAUGCACCGAAGCUGCGGCAGCGACACUAUGUGUUGUUGGGUAGGGGAGCGUUCUGUAAGCCUGCGAAGGUGACCUGUGAGGGUUGCUGGAGGUAUCAGAAGUGCGAAUGCUGACAUAAGUAACGAUAAAGCGGGUGAAAAGCCCGCUCGCCGGAAGACCAAGGGUUCCUGUCCAACGUUAAUCGGGGCAGGGUGAGUCGACCCCUAAGGCGAGGCCGAAAGGCGUAGUCGAUGGGAAACAGGUUAAUAUUCCUGUACUUGGUGUUACUGCGAAGGGGGGACGGAGAAGGCUAUGUUAGCCGGGCGACGGUUGUCCCGGUUUAAGCAUGUAGGCUGGUUGUCCAGGCAAAUCCGGAUAAUCAAGGCUGAGGUGUGAUGACGAGGCACUACGGUGCUGAAGUAACAAAUGCCCUGCUUCCAGGAAAAGCCUCUAAGCAUCAGGUAACAUUAAAUCGUACCCCAAACCGACACAGGUGGUCAGGUAGAGAAUACCAAGGCGCUUGAGAGAACUCGGGUGAAGGAACUAGGCAAAAUGGUGCCGUAACUUCGGGAGAAGGCACGCUGGUGUGUAGGUGAAGUCCCUGCGGAUGGAGCUGAGACCAGUCGAAGAUACCAGCUGGCUGCAACUGUUUAUUAAAAACACAGCACUGUGCAAACACGAAAGUGGACGUAUACGGUGUGACGCCUGCCCGGUGCCGGAAGGUUAAUUGAUGGGGUUAUCCGUAAGGAGAAGCUCUUGAUCGAAGCCCCGGUAAACGGCGGCCGUAACUAUAACGGUCCUAAGGUAGCGAAAUUCCUUGUCGGGUAAGUUCCGACCUGCACGAAUGGCGUAAUGAUGGCCAGGCUGUCUCCACCCGAGACUCAGUGAAAUUGAACUCGCUGUGAAGAUGCAGUGUACCCGCGGCAAGACGGAAAGACCCCGUGAACCUUUACUAUAGCUUGACACUGAACAUUGAGCCUUGAUGUGUAGGAUAGGUGGGAGGCUUUGAAGCGUGGACGCCAGUCUGCGUGGAGCCAACCUUGAAAUACCACCCUUUAAUGUUUGAUGUUCUAACGUUGGCCCCUGACCGGGGUUGCGGACAGUGUCUGGUGGGUAGUUUGACUGGGGCGGUCUCCUCCCAAAGCGUAACGGAGGAGCACGAAGGUUAGCUAAUCCUGGUCGGACAUCAGGAGGUUAGUGCAAUGGCAUAAGCUAGCUUGACUGCGAGCGUGACGGCGCGAGCAGGUGCGAAAGCAGGUCAUAGUGAUCCGGUGGUUCUGAAUGGAAGGGCCAUCGCUCAACGGAUAAAAGGUACUCCGGGGAUAACAGGCUGAUACCGCCCAAGAGUUCAUAUCGACGGCGGUGUUUGGCACCUCGAUGUCGGCUCAUCACAUCCUGGGGCUGAAGUAGGUCCCAAGGGUAUGGCUGUUCGCCAUUUAAAGUGGUACGCGAGCUGGGUUUAGAACGUCGUGAGACAGUUCGGUCCCUAUCUGCCGUGGGCGCUGGAGAAUUGAGGGGGGCUGCUCCUAGUACGAGAGGACCGGAGUGGACGCAUCACUGGUGUUCGGGUUGUCAUGCCAAUGGCACUGCCCGGUAGCUAAAUGCGGAAGAGAUAAGUGCUGAAAGCAUCUAAGCACGAAACUUUCCCCGAGAUGAGUUCUCCCUGAGACUUUAAGUCUCCUGAAGGAACGUUAAAGACGAUGACGUUGAUAGGCCGGGUGUGUAAGCGCAGCGAUGCGUUGAGCUAACCGGUACUAAUGAACCGUGAGGCUUAACCUU
This 2900-nucleotide ribosomal RNA is filed under the name Klebsiella pneumoniae. RNAcentral describes it as "23S ribosomal RNA". It matches the Rfam family "Bacterial large subunit ribosomal RNA". The record is from RNAcentral. Lineage: Bacteria; Pseudomonadati; Pseudomonadota; Gammaproteobacteria; Enterobacterales; Enterobacteriaceae.